UAGUUUUUGACCAUCGAUGUCUUCGAAUCAUCGUUUGUGUUAGCUGGGAUUACAAAGUAGGUAAUAACGAGGUUAGACGACGAGUGUUAUGAAUCU
This 96-nucleotide microRNA precursor is filed under the name Schistosoma japonicum. RNAcentral's name for it is "microRNA sja-mir-3506 precursor". The record is from miRBase by way of RNAcentral. Lineage: Eukaryota; Metazoa; Platyhelminthes; Trematoda; Strigeidida; Schistosomatidae.